RNAcentral lists this long non-coding RNA (2033 nucleotides) under Capra hircus (goat). Its description in RNAcentral is "lncRNA (ENSCHIG00010007145.1)". Lineage: Eukaryota; Metazoa; Chordata; Mammalia; Artiodactyla; Bovidae. The record is from RNAcentral.
AAUAUCCAGGAUUGGAAUGUAUAAAGGAUGGCCAGGGAAAGAUGGCAUCUGAGAAAAGACCUGAAAGAAGUGAGGAAAUGAGUUAGGCAAAUACCUAGGAGGACAAAAUGCCAGGCCAAGGGAACAAGUACAAAGGCCUGAGAUGAAAGCUCACCUUCUAUGUUCUAGGAACAAUAAGCAACCCAGUGUGGCUGGCAUGGAGUGAGCAAUGAAGAAAAUAAUGGGAGCUGAAAGCAGAGAGGUAACAAGGGGCUAAAUCACAUAGGGAUUUGUAGAUCAUUUUAUGGACUUUAGCUUUUUAAGUAAGCUGAAAGCCACUAGAGAAUUUUGAGCAGAGAAGGAAAAUGAUCAAAAUUUUUAUCAGGAUACUNNNNNNACAAGACUGAGCAUAAACCAAAGAAGGACAAGCAAAGAAGAAAGACCACUUAUAGGUUAUUGCAGUAGCCCAGGCAGGAAAUGACAGUGCUGUAGACUGAGAGGCAAUAGCAGUGAAAGUGAUAAGAAAUGUUCAGGUUCUGGGUACAUUUUAAAGGUAAAGUUGUAAGAAUUUGCUCACAGAUUAGAUGCACAGUGUGAGAAGAUCAGAAGACUCAAGGAUGACUUUUACAGUUUUUGAUCUGAGUCAAAUUUGCACGUAUGGCUAGAAGAAUGGAAAAUGGGAUUAAUUAAAAUUUCUAGGACUGGGACCCUUUGGAACACUGACAAAUAGGGCAUGGGAAGAUAAAGUAGAGAGAUGCAAAGGUAGUAGCAAGAAGUAGAAAAAGAAUGAGAAGACCAUGGUGCCAUGGAGGAUUAGGAAGGAAAAUCCUCUGGAGGACUGGGCGUGUGCCUCUCCUCUCAGAGUACGACUCUCUGAGACCAGAGACAAACCUCCUCCAUCAGACAGGGGCUUUCUGAGAUUCCUCAUCAGCCUUGGUCUCCUGAUCUAGUAAUUUUUAUUCUCUAUCUUCUUGCUUUAAGUGGGGACCAAGUAGCUAACUGGGGCUUCCCAGGUGGUGCUAGUGGUAAAGAACCUGCCUGUCAAUGCAGGAGACAUAAGAACUGUGGUUUCAAUCCCUGGAUUGGGAAGAUCCCCUGAAGGAGGGCAUGACAAUGUAUUCCAAUAGUCUUGCCUGGAGAAUCCUGUGGACAGAGGAGCCUGGAGGGUUACAGUCCCUAAGGUCGCAAGGAGUAGGACACGACUGAAGAGACUUAGCGCACACACAAGUUGGUGACCACCUACUCCUGAGCCAGCCUGCUAUGUCCCCCCAGCCUCCAUGGAGGCAACUCAUCCUUAAGAAAUGGAAAAAUGGGAUUUAUGUGGUGGUGCAAUGGUAAAGAAUCCGCCUGACAACCAGGAAACAUGGGUUUGAUUCCUGGUCCAAGAAGAUCCCACAGGCCUUGGAACAACUAAGUUCGUGUGCUACAACUAUUGAGUCUGUGCUCUAGAGCCCUGCAAGCUGCAACUACUGAGCCCACGUGUGGCAGCUACUGAAGCCGGCUCACCCUACAGCCUGUGCUCCACAACCAGAGAAGUCACCCCAGUGAAAAGCCCUCCCACUGCAACGAAGAGUAGCCCCCACUUGCCUCAACUAGAGAAAAGCCUGACAGCAGCAAAGAUCCAGCACAGUCAAAAAUAAACAAAUAAAUUAAAAGUAUUUACAAGAAAAAAAGAAUCCACCUGCCAAUGCGGGGUCACAGGUUUGAUCCCUAGUCCAGGAAGACCCCACAUGCUGUGGGGCAGCUUAAGCCCUUACGCCACAACUACUGAACCCCACACACCUAGAGCCUAUGCUCUGCAGAGAGAAGCCACUGUGAUGAGAAGCCUGCACAUCACAACUGGAGAGUAGCCGCAACUCGCCCAAACUAGAGAAAAACUUCACACACCAAAGAAGACCCAGCACAGCCAAAUCAACAAAUAAUAAAUCUUUUUUAAACAAGAAAUGGAAAAGCAUAGAGAACUGCAUUCAGUUUACCACGAUAAACCAUAAUGAAAAAAGAUAUUACCAAAAAAAGAAUGUAUAUAUAUAUAUAUAUAAUGUUUAUAUAUACAU